AGUGAACGCUGGCGGUAGGCCUUACACAUGCAAGUCGAACGGCAGCACAGUAAGAGCUUGCUCGUACGGGUGGCGAGUGGCGGACGGGUGAGGAAUACAUCGGAAUCUACGUUUUCGUGGGGGAGAACGUAGGGAAACUUACGCUAAUACCGCAUACGACCUACGGGUGAAAGCAGGGGAUCUUCGGACCUUGCGCGAUUGAAUGAGCCGAUUUCGGAUUAGCGAGUUGGCGGGGGAAAGGCCCACCAAGGGGACGAUCCGUAGCUGGUUUGAGAGGACGACCAGCCACACUUGGACUGGGACACGGCCCAGACUCCCACGGGGAGGAGGAGUGGGGAAAUUUGGACAAUGGGGGAAAGCCCGAUCCAGCAAUGCCGCGUGUGGUAAAAAGGCCUUUGGGUUGUAAAGCACUUUUUUUCGGAAAAAAAACCUUGGCGGUAAUACCGCCGGGGUUUGACGGGACCCGAAAGAUAAACACCGGGUAAAUAUGUU
Molecule: ribosomal RNA, 492 nt
Filed under: uncultured bacterium
Lineage: Bacteria
Description: partial 16S ribosomal RNA
Rfam family: Bacterial small subunit ribosomal RNA
Source: RNAcentral